This 163-nucleotide small nuclear RNA is filed under the name Dendronephthya gigantea. RNAcentral's name for it is "U1 spliceosomal RNA". It matches the Rfam family "U1 spliceosomal RNA". From Rfam's summary of the family: U1 is a small nuclear RNA (snRNA) component of the spliceosome (involved in pre-mRNA splicing). Lineage: Eukaryota; Metazoa; Cnidaria; Anthozoa; Malacalcyonacea; Nephtheidae. The record is from RNAcentral.
AUACUUACCUGACGCGAGAGGCACCUUGAUCAACUAGGAGGUCCUCUCAGGAUGAGGCCCUUUCAUUGCACUUCGACUGGGUUGACUCUGCGAUUACCCCUAAUGUGGGUAACUCGAGCGUAUAAUUUCUGGUAGUGGGGACCUGCGUUCGCGCUCGUCCCCU